GAUGAACGCUGGCGGCGUGCCUAAUACAUGCAAGUCGAGCGAACGGACGAGAAGCUUGCUCCUCUGAUGUUAGCGGCGGACGGGUGAGUAACACGUGGAUAACCUACCUAUAAGACUGGGAUAACUUCGGGAAACCGGAGCUAAUACCGGAUAAUAUUUUGAACCGCAUGGUUCAAUAGUGAAAGACGGUCUUGCUGUCACUUAUAGAUGGAUCCGCGCUGCAUUAGCUAGUUGGUAAGGUAACGGCUUACCAAGGCAACGAUGCGUAGCCGACCUGAGAGGGUGAUCGGCCACACUGGAACUGAGACACGGUCCAGACUCCUACGGGAGGCAGCAGUAGGGAAUCUUCCGCAAUGGGCGAAAGCCUGACGGAGCAACGCCGCGUGAGUGAUGAAGGUCUUCGGAUCGUAAAACUCUGUUAUUAGGGAAGAACAUAUGUGUAAGUAACUGUGCACGUCUUGACGGUACCUAAUCAGAAAGCCACGGCUAACUACGUG
RNAcentral lists this ribosomal RNA (497 nucleotides) under uncultured bacterium. Its description in RNAcentral is "partial 16S ribosomal RNA". It matches the Rfam family "Bacterial small subunit ribosomal RNA", at positions 28 to 507 of the family's 1533-position model. The record is from RNAcentral.